This 253-nucleotide ribosomal RNA is filed under the name uncultured bacterium. Its description in RNAcentral is "partial 16S ribosomal RNA". It matches the Rfam family "Bacterial small subunit ribosomal RNA", at positions 524 to 776 of the family's 1533-position model. The record is from RNAcentral.
UACGGAGGAUGCAAGCGUUAUCCGGAAUUAUUGGGCGUAAAGCGUCCGCAGGUGGCACUUCAAGUCUGUCGUCAAAGACCGGGGCUUAACCCUGGAAAGGCGAUGGAAACUGAAAGGCUAGAGAGAGGUAGGGGUAGAGGGAAUUCCCAGUGUAGCGGUGAAAUGCGUAGAGAUUGGGAAGAACACCAACGGCGAAAGCACUCUGCUGGGCCGACACUGACACUGAGAGACGAAAGCUAGGGGAGCGAAUGGG